RNAcentral lists this ribosomal RNA (406 nucleotides) under uncultured bacterium. RNAcentral describes it as "partial 16S ribosomal RNA". It matches the Rfam family "Bacterial small subunit ribosomal RNA", at positions 28 to 526 of the family's 1533-position model. The record is from RNAcentral.
GAUGAACGCUAGCUACAGGCUUAACACAUGCAAGUCGAGGGACCGGCGCACGGGUGAGUAACACGUAUCCAACCUGCCCUUUACUCGGGGAUAGCCUUUCGACAGAAAGAUUAAUACCCGAUCUAAAGGAUGGGGAUGCGUUCCAUUAGGUUGUUGGUGAGGUAACGGCCCACCAAGCCUUCGAUGGAUAGGGGUUCUGAGAUGAAGGUCCCCCACAGUGGAACCGCGGCCCGGUCCAAAAUCCUACGGGAGGCAGCAGUGAGGAAUAUUGUGCAAUGAGCGCUAGCCGGAACCAGCCAAGUAGCUUGAAGGAUGUAGGGGUAGUGAUCGUAAAUUGCUUGUAGAGAAGAAUCGGUAUUAUAUGAAUAAGGAUCGGCUAACUCCGUGCCAGCCGCCGCGGUAAUUC